AGUGUAGGCGGCUUCGUAAGUCGGAUGUGAAAGCCCUGGGCUUAACCUGGGAAUUGCAUUCGAUACUGCGCGGCUAGAGUCUGAUAGAGGGAAGUGGAAUUCCAGGUGUAGCGGUGAAAUGCGUAGAGAUCUGGAGGAACACCAGUGGCGAAGGCGGCUUCCUGGAUCAAGACUGACGCUGAGGCUCGAAAGCGUGGGGAGCAAACA
RNAcentral lists this ribosomal RNA (207 nucleotides) under uncultured bacterium. RNAcentral describes it as "partial 16S ribosomal RNA". It matches the Rfam family "Bacterial small subunit ribosomal RNA", at positions 568 to 774 of the family's 1533-position model. The record is from RNAcentral.